AGUAGUUGAUCAUGGCUCGAGGACGAACGCUGGCGGCGUGCCUAACACAUGCAAGUCGAACGGAACUAUUUGAAGGAUUCCUUCGGGAUGACGGAUUUUAGUUAGUGGCGGACGGGUGAGUAACGCGUGAGUAACCUGCCUCUGAGAGGGGAAUAACGUUCUGAAAAGAACGCUAAUACCGCAUAACAUAUAUUUGCCGCAUGACAGAUAUAUCAAAGAUUUUUAUCGCUCAGAGAUGGACUCGCGUCCGAUUAGUUAGUUGGUGAGGUAACGGCUCACCAAGACCGCGAUCGGUAGCCGGACUGAGAGGUUGAUCGGCCACAUUGGGACUGAGACACGGCCCAGACUCCUACGGGAGGCAGCAGUGGGGGAUAUUGCGCAAUGGGGGCAAACCCCCUGACGCAGCAACGCCGCGUGAAGGACGAAGGUCUUCGGAUUGUAAACUUCUUUUGUCAGGGACGAAAUUUGACGGUACUUGACGAAUAAGCUCCGGCUAACUACGUGCCAGCCGCCGC
This 515-nucleotide ribosomal RNA is filed under the name uncultured bacterium. RNAcentral describes it as "bacterial SSU rRNA". It matches the Rfam family "Bacterial small subunit ribosomal RNA", at positions 1 to 518 of the family's 1533-position model. The record is from RNAcentral.